Molecule: microRNA, 23 nt
Filed under: Gallus gallus (chicken)
Lineage: Eukaryota; Metazoa; Chordata; Aves; Galliformes; Phasianidae
Description: microRNA Ros-gga
Source: RNAcentral
UGGAGUGUGUCUAUGGUGUUUGA